AUGCCUAGUGCAAUCUUAAUCAUGUGGUUACCAUUGUUGAUUGUUUGUAGGAAGCUCAAAGGAAGCAAUACUGCAACAAAAAUCUCUGAAUGCAUUCCAAGCUUCUGUACGGCAUAUGCCGUUUCAAAGGGCAAACUGUCAUUUGUGCACUCGGCUACAUCUGAUGCCUGCGGAAUACCCAAGACCAUAUCUUCUUCAACCAUUUCUUCUCCUAGCUCCAGAAGCCUUUCCAAUGCGCCCUCAGCAGAGUGGGCUCAUAGAAAUGGAACAACGACUGUACUAUUGUGCCAGUCAUCUCUGUCAUCGCAGCCUGAUCACGCACUCGCAAAUAUAAACAGGUCGGCCAACAGGGGAGCUAGCCCUUCAGUAGCGCAGCUCAGCAGCAGCAACAGUGGGGAUUCAAUUUACAAGAGCUUCCGAGAUAUCUCUAAUCUGCAGGCAGCAGUUUCAGAAACUGCAAUAGACCUGAGGCAUUCUCAUGACCAGGAUGAUCUGAAGCUUCAAAUUGAGUGA
Molecule: ribosomal RNA, 513 nt
Filed under: Triticum aestivum (bread wheat)
Lineage: Eukaryota; Viridiplantae; Streptophyta; Magnoliopsida; Poales; Poaceae
Description: partial small subunit ribosomal RNA
Source: RNAcentral